RNAcentral lists this ribosomal RNA (447 nucleotides) under bacterium symbiont of Megymenum gracilicorne. RNAcentral's name for it is "partial 16S ribosomal RNA". It matches the Rfam family "Bacterial small subunit ribosomal RNA", at positions 594 to 1041 of the family's 1533-position model. The record is from RNAcentral.
GUGAAAACCAGCAGCUCAACUGCUGAAUUGCAUGCGAUACUGGCAAACUUGAGUACUGCAGGGGAGACUGGAAUUCCUGGUGUAGCGGUGAAAUGCGCAGAUAUCAGGAGGAACACCGGUGGCGAAGGCGGGUCUCUGGGCAGUAACUGACGCUGAGGAACGAAAGCGUGGGUAGCGAACAGGAUUAGAUACCCUGGUAGUCCACGCCGUAAACGGUGGGCGCUAGGUGUGGGUUCCUUCCACGGAAUCCGUGCCGUANCUAACGCAUUAAGCGCCCCCCCUGGGGAGUACGGCCGCAAGGCUAAAACUCAAAGGAUUUGACGGGGGCCCGCACAAGCGGGGGAGCAUGUGUUUUAUUUCNAUGCAACGCAAAAAACCUUACCUGGUUUUGACAUAUACCGGAAAGCUGCAAANAUGUGGCCCCCCUUGUGGNCGGUAUACANGUGG